RNAcentral lists this ribosomal RNA (450 nucleotides) under uncultured bacterium. Its description in RNAcentral is "partial 16S ribosomal RNA". It matches the Rfam family "Bacterial small subunit ribosomal RNA", at positions 354 to 796 of the family's 1533-position model. The record is from RNAcentral.
GUGAGGAAUCUUCCGCAAUGGACGAAAGUCUGACGGAGCAACGCCGCGUGAGUGAUGAAGGUCUUCGGAUUGUAAAGCUCUGUUAAUCGGGACGAAAGAGCCUAGUGUGAAUAAUGCUAGGAAGUGACGGUACCGGAAUAGAAAGCCACGGCUAACUACGUGCCAGCAGCCGCGGUAAUACGUAGGUGGCAAGCGUUGUCCGGAAUUAUUGGGCGUAAAGCGCGCGCAGGCGGAUCUGCCAGUCUGUCUUAAAAGUUCGGGGCUUAACCCCGUGAUGGGAUGGAAACUACAGAUCUAGAGUAUCGGAGAGGAAAGUGGAAUUCCUAGUGUAGCGGUGAAAUGCGUAGAUAUUAGGAAGAACACCAGUGGCGAAGGCGACUUUCUGGACGAAAACUGACGCUGAGGCGCGAAAGCCAGGGGAGCGAACGGGAUUAGAAACCCCGGUAGUCC